UGGGGAAUAUUGGACAAUGGGCGCAAGCCUGAUCCAGCCAUGCCGCGUGAGUGACGAAGGCCUUAGGGUUGUAAAGCUCUUUUGGCGGGGAAGAUAAUGACGGUACCCGCAGAAUAAGCUCCGGCUAACUUCGUGCCAGCAGCCGCGGUAAUACGAAGGGAGCUAGCGUUGUUCGGAAUCACUGGGCGUAAAGCGCACGUAGGUGGGCAGUUAAGUCAGGGGUGAAAGCCCGAGGCUCAACCUCGGAAUUGCCUCUGAUACUGGCUGUCUAGAGUUCGAGAGAGGUGAAUGGAAUUCCUAGUGUAGAGGUGAAAUUCGUAGAUAUUAGGAAGAACACCGGUGGCGAAGGCGGCUCACUGGCUCGAUACUGACACUGAGGUGCGAAAGCGUGGGGAGCAAACAGGAUUAGAUACCCAUGUAGUCCCUGAGCGGGCUGGCAAGGCGCAU
RNAcentral lists this ribosomal RNA (447 nucleotides) under uncultured bacterium. RNAcentral describes it as "bacterial SSU rRNA". It matches the Rfam family "Bacterial small subunit ribosomal RNA", at positions 355 to 825 of the family's 1533-position model. The record is from RNAcentral.